GACGAACGCUGGCGGCGUGCUUAACACAUGCAAGUCGAACGGAAAGGCCCUGCUUUUGUGGGGUGCUCGAGUGGCGAACGGGUGAGUAACACGUGAGUAACCUGCCCUUGACCUUGGGAUAACUUCAGGAAACUGGGGCUAAUACCGGAUAGGAGCUCCUGCUGCAUGGUGGGGGUUGGAAAGUUUCGGCGGUUGGGGAUGGACUCGCGGCUUAUCAGCUUGUUGGUGGGGUAGUGGCUUACCAAGGCUUUGACGGGUAGCCGGCCUGAGAGGGUGACCGGCCACAUUGGGACUGAGAUACGGCCCAGACUCCUACGGGCGGCAGCAGUGGGGAAUAUUGCACAAUGGGCGGAAGCCUGAUGCAGCAACGCCGCGUGCGGGAUGACGGCCUUCGGGUUGUAAACCGCUUUCGCCUGUGACGAAGCGUGAGUGACGGUAAUGGGUAAAGAAGCACCGGCUAACUACGUG
RNAcentral lists this ribosomal RNA (468 nucleotides) under uncultured bacterium. Its description in RNAcentral is "partial 16S ribosomal RNA". It matches the Rfam family "Bacterial small subunit ribosomal RNA", at positions 28 to 507 of the family's 1533-position model. The record is from RNAcentral.